RNAcentral lists this ribosomal RNA (469 nucleotides) under uncultured bacterium. RNAcentral describes it as "bacterial SSU rRNA". It matches the Rfam family "Bacterial small subunit ribosomal RNA", at positions 28 to 507 of the family's 1533-position model. The record is from RNAcentral.
GAUGAACGCUGGCGGCGUGCUUAACACAUGCAAGUCGAACGGAGUUAUUUAGAAGCUUGCUUUUGAAUAACUUAGUGGCGGACGGGUGAGUAACGCGUGGGUGACCUGCCUUAUACUGGGGGGAUAACACUUAGAAAUAGGUGCUAAUACCGCAUAAGCGCACAGUUCUGCAUGGGACAGUGUGAAAAACUGAGGUGGUAUAAGAUGGACCCGCGUCUGAUUAGCUAGUUGGUGAGGUAACGGCCCACCAAGGCGACGAUCAGUAGCCGGCCUGAGAGGGUGAACGGCCACAUUGGGACUGAGACACGGCCCAAACUCCUACGGGAGGCAGCAGUGGGGAAUAUUGCACAAUGGGGGAAACCCUGAUGCAGCGACGCCGCGUGAGUGAAGAAGUUAUUCGUAACGUAAAGCUCUAUCAGCAGGGAAGAAAAUGACGGUACCUGACUAAGAAGCCCCGGCUAACUACGUG